This 652-nucleotide long non-coding RNA is filed under the name Mus musculus (house mouse). RNAcentral's name for it is "long non-coding RNA chr6:37996589-37997241". Lineage: Eukaryota; Metazoa; Chordata; Mammalia; Rodentia; Muridae. The record is from RNAcentral.
UAUGGGGCUUUUUUUUUUUUAAAGAUUUAUUUAUUUAUUUAUUUAUUUAUUUAUUUAUUUAUUUAUUAUAUGUAAGUACACUGUAGCUGUCCCCAGACACUCCAGAAGAGGGUGUCAGAUCUCAUUACAGAUGGUUGUGAGCCACCAUGUGGUUGCUGGGAUUUGAACUCCUGACCUUUGGAAGAGCAGUCGGGUGCUCUUACCCACUGAGCCAUCUCACCAGCCCCCCCCCCUUUUUUUUUUUUAAGAAAUAAAAAUGUUAAGGGCUUUUUUUUCUUACUUUUAACAAUAAACACAGGGCUUUUCUUUACAAGCAACAAUGAAAAGGUAGAAGCUUUUUCUUUCAGUGAGCAGUAAAGGGUGGCACUUCUUUUUUAUCCAGAAUGAGUGAGUUUUUUCUGCAUUGGUGCUUGCUCAUUGGAACUUGCUUAUGGAAGCUCUUGCUCCACCCACCAAAUGUAUAUAUGCCUAUGUAAGUAUAGGGGUGUAUAUGUAAACAUGCAUGGAGACUUGGGGAGUUGAUGAAAUAGGUGGUCACGAGCUGGACCAGAGUGUGUGGGUGUGCACAUAUUGCCUGUGUAAAAGAUUGUAAUUCUUUUCCUUUCUUUUCUAUUUGGUUCACAAAAAGUUAAUAAAUCUCACCUGACCAGUG